GCUGGGUGUGGUGGCUCAUACCUGUAAUCCCAGCUACUUGGGAGGCUGAGGCAGGAGGAUUGCUUGAGCCCAGGAGUUGGAGUCCAGCCUGGGCAACAUGGUGAGACCCUAUCUCUA
RNAcentral lists this non-coding RNA (117 nucleotides) under Homo sapiens (human). Lineage: Eukaryota; Metazoa; Chordata; Mammalia; Primates; Hominidae. The record is from Rfam by way of RNAcentral.